RNAcentral lists this ribosomal RNA (351 nucleotides) under Dyella sp. RZ4MS13. Its description in RNAcentral is "bacterial SSU rRNA". It matches the Rfam family "Bacterial small subunit ribosomal RNA", at positions 115 to 467 of the family's 1533-position model. The record is from RNAcentral. Lineage: Bacteria; Pseudomonadati; Pseudomonadota; Gammaproteobacteria; Lysobacterales; Rhodanobacteraceae.
GCAUCGGGACCUGCCCAGACGUGGGGGAUAACGUAGGGAAACUUACGCUAAUACCGCAUACGUCCUACGGGAGAAAGCGGGGGAUCGAAAGACCUCGCGCGGUUGGAUGGACCGAUGUUCGAUUAGCUAGUUGGUGAGGUAAUGGCUCACCAAGGCGACGAUCGAUAGCUGGUCUGAGAGGAUGAUCAGCCACACUGGGACUGAGACACGGCCCAGACUCCUACGGGAGGCAGCAGUGGGGAAUAUUGGACAAUGGGCGAAAGCCUGAUCCAGCAAUGCCGCGUGUGUGAAGAAGGCCUUCGGGUUGUAAAGCACUUUUAUCAGGAGCGAAAUACUGCCGGCUAAUACCCG